Molecule: unclassified non-coding RNA, 1551 nt
Filed under: Hevea brasiliensis (rubber tree)
Lineage: Eukaryota; Viridiplantae; Streptophyta; Magnoliopsida; Malpighiales; Euphorbiaceae
Source: RNAcentral
AAAAUUAAAUAUUGAAGUCCAACAUUAUAAAUCAAAUUUCAAAUUGCAAAAUUUGGAUGCACUCAAGAGUAAAGCAUUAUAAAUUUGAGGCACAGGGGCAAAAUUCAUGACUAGUACCAAAAUUUUUACCAGACAAUCUCCUUUCACUUGCUUGUCAUGCUACAACUACAAGUGUUUCAUACAACAGAUAUAUUCUUAGAGUUUUCCAAUAACACCUUCAAGUUCCAGCAAGCAAUCAAAAUUUUUGUUUCAGUUUCUUUUUGUCAAUACUUCAGUUUCACAGACCCAAAAAGAAGGUACAAGCCCUUCUCUAGAUUUUUCAGCACCCCUCUUCCUUAAAACUGAAUGAUCUUAGCUGCACUCUCUGCUUCAAAGUCUUUCUGCUCACUGUCUCCAAUCUCCCGUCUUAACCCAUCUUCUAUCUCUCUUUCUAGUGACCAAUUACACAAUUUCACCGAAAGGUCUAUCCUCUGAUUUAACACCUAGACCACAAAUUAGCAGUAAAAUUGCUUGUUGGCUAACAUUUCAGCUUUAUUGCUAACAUUUCAACUUUAUUAAUUCUUUAUUUCAAUGCUGAGGAUAUCUUGUUCUAAUGCACAUGUUAAUUUCUUCCACUAUUGUUCAAUCAUAUAUGAGAAGCAAAAAUGGCUUACUAGAUCCAAAUAUCCAGAAACCAUGGUUUAAAAAAUUGUUCUUUAACCAUAGUGCCGCCACCAAAUAAAAUAUGGCACUAACUCCACAAUUGGCCAUCAUGUAGGAUGUAAAUUAUUACAUCUAGCUGAUGCGACAAACCAGAUUGAACUUGAACAAAAGACUCAACUCUAAUACUCGAAAGAAAAGCACAUACAACCCUAGGCAAAAUCCAAAUUAUUACAGAUACCUUAAUGCACCACUCUGUAAGCCCUCUACAAAAAGAAGCCAACCAACGGUCCCACUAGGAAUUUCAUCAAAAAUUCCAGCAUUAUACAUCAAAAGAAUUUUACGCUUCAACUCUAUCCAAUCAAUAUGUUUUCUUUCAACAUAUGUUUCUUGUAAGGACAUUAAGCUACCUUUACACAACAGCCCAUGCUGGAAUGGAUAAGCACAAACCAAUUGACACGGUACAAGUUAAUCAGAUAAAAUUUUACAAUUUUUUGGUUAAUAAAGGUGGCUAUUACAUUAUAAUUCACAAUACAAACUGCAAAUGAAAGCUUCCUGGUCGCUUGUCUAACGGUACUGGAAAUUGAGUUUAAAUGACACUACAUUGAAAAAGAUAAUUUCAUAAAAUAUCAAUUAAAGCACAAAUGCAACAAACAAAAUAUUCAGAGUGCAAUUCAGAAUUCAAAUGAUCAGGCAUACAGAUUAAGGGGAAAAAUUCAAAAUUUAAAUACAUUUUGCAAGGAAGAAUGUCUUAGUGAAGUUUUCCACACUUUAAAAGAUCAUAUAAUCUCUAAAUUUAUAUCUUCCCAGAAAAUCCUAAGAUAACAAUUACACCUAAACAGUAAUGUUAUUUUCACAUGCUCCAAAACUUGAUAAACAAAUUCUCAAGCAAAUAGAAAAAAUCAAAGAAAG